This 738-nucleotide ribosomal RNA is filed under the name Pseudomonas sp. 120516_NH_C1_G9. RNAcentral describes it as "bacterial SSU rRNA". It matches the Rfam family "Bacterial small subunit ribosomal RNA", at positions 16 to 749 of the family's 1533-position model. The record is from RNAcentral. Lineage: Bacteria; Pseudomonadati; Pseudomonadota; Gammaproteobacteria; Pseudomonadales; Pseudomonadaceae.
AUUAUGGCUCAGAUUGAACGCUGGCGGCAGGCCUAACACAUGCAAGUCGAGCGGAUGACGGGAGCUUGCUCCUUGAUUCAGCGGCGGACGGGUGAGUAAUGCCUAGGAAUCUGCCUGGUAGUGGGGGACAACGUUUCGAAAGGAACGCUAAUACCGCAUACGUCCUACGGGAGAAAGCAGGGGACCUUCGGGCCUUGCGCUAUCAGAUGAGCCUAGGUCGGAUUAGCUAGUUGGUGGGGUAAUGGCUCACCAAGGCGACGAUCCGUAACUGGUCUGAGAGGAUGAUCAGUCACACUGGAACUGAGACACGGUCCAGACUCCUACGGGAGGCAGCAGUGGGGAAUAUUGGACAAUGGGCGAAAGCCUGAUCCAGCCAUGCCGCGUGUGUGAAGAAGGUCUUCGGAUUGUAAAGCACUUUAAGUUGGGAGGAAGGGCAGUAAGYUAAUACCUUGCUGUUUUGACGUUACCGACAGAAUAAGCACCGGCUAACUCUGUGCCAGCAGCCGCGGUAAUACAGAGGGUGCAAGCGUUAAUCGGAAUUACUGGGCGUAAAGCGCGCGUAGGUGGUUUGUUAAGUUGGAUGUGAAAGCCCCGGGCUCAACCUGGGAACUGCAUCCAAAACUGGCAAGCUAGAGUACGGUAGAGGGUGGUGGAAUUUCCUGUGUAGCGGUGAAAUGCGUAGAUAUAGGAAGGAACACCAGUGGCGAAGGCGACCACCUGGACUGAUACUGACACUGA